RNAcentral lists this ribosomal RNA (482 nucleotides) under uncultured bacterium. Its description in RNAcentral is "partial 16S ribosomal RNA". It matches the Rfam family "Bacterial small subunit ribosomal RNA", at positions 28 to 507 of the family's 1533-position model. The record is from RNAcentral.
GACGAACGCUGGCGGCGUGCUUAACACAUGCAAGUCGAGCGGUAAGGCCUUUCGGGGUACACGAGCGGCGAACGGGUGAGUAACACGUGGGUGAUCUGCCCUGCACUUCGGGAUAAGCCUGGGAAACUGGGUCUAAUACCGGAUAUGACCUCCUAUCGCCUGGCGGGUGGAGGAAAGAUUUAUCGGUGCAGGAUGGGCCCGCGGCCGAUCAGCUUGUUGGUGGGGUAAUGGCCUACCAAGGCGACGACCGGUAGCCGACCUGAGAGGGUGAUCGGCGACACUGGAACUUAGACACGGCCCCGACUCCUACGGGAGGCAGCAGUGGGGAAUAUUGGACAAUGGGCGCAAGUCUGAUCCAGCGAUCCCGCGUGUGUGAAGAAGGCCCUCGGGUUGUAAAGCCCUUUUGCUGGGAAAGAAAAGCAGCAGGUUAAUACCCCGCUGUUCUGACGGUACCCAAAGAAUAAGCACCGGCUAACUUCGUG